Molecule: ribosomal RNA, 497 nt
Filed under: uncultured bacterium
Lineage: Bacteria
Description: partial 16S ribosomal RNA
Rfam family: Bacterial small subunit ribosomal RNA
Source: RNAcentral
GAUGAACGCUGGCGGCGUGCCUAAUACAUGCAAGUCGAGCGAACGGACGAGAAGCUUGCUUUUCUGAUGUUAGCGGCGGACGGGUGAGUAACACGUGGAUAACCUACCUAUAAGACUGGGAUAACUUCGGGAAACCGGAGCUAAUACCGGAUAAUAUUUUGAACCGCAUGGUUCAAAAGUGAAAGACGGUCCUGCUGUCACUUAUAGAUGGAUCCGCGCUGCAUUAGCUAGUUGGUAAGGUAACGGCUUACCAAGGCAACGAUGCAUAGCCGACCUGAGAGGGUGAUCGGCCACACUGGAACUGAGACACGGUCCAGACUCCUACGGGAGGCAGCAGUAGGGAAUCUUCCGCAAUGGGCGAAAGCCUGACGGAUCAACGCCGCGUGAGUGAUGAAGGUCUUCGGAUCGUAAAACUCUGUUAUUAGGGAAGAACAUAUGUGUAAGUAACUGUGCACAUCUUGACGGUACCUAAUCAGAAAGCCACGGCUAACUACGUG